UUUUCGCCAUACAACCACUUUCACACAAUCGGAAGCGCACUUGUGCCGUUUCGCAAUUCCCUCUCGCAAUUAUUUCAGUUUUGACAAUACGUUACAGUUAAAUUCACACCUACGAAUGUACUUUAUUAGUUUCAAUAUUUUACGGAGAGAACCAACAACGAAGUACUAAGAACCAUUGCAGUUAAAUGAGGGAAAUCCAAUUUUCUGUAUAUAUUUUUCUAGAAAAAGGCCUUAGAGCAAUGAUGAUCUUCAGAUCUUUCUAUAUAAUCGUCAUGGACCAUACGGUCUAUACUACACGGUCAAAACUAUUUGUUGUUUUGAAAAAGGUUUUUCUAUAUUAUUUACAGCUCUCGCUCACACGAUUUCUUUUUCUUAUCUAUAACGAGCUAAAUUAUCAAAAUUUUGUUCCUUAAGCUUGGAAGAAUAAAGUAAAAGAAUGCUUGUGAUUGAAUGUACUAUAUAGCAAUCAUACAUUGAUAAAGACUGGAGAAACUGUAUCUGUAAAGUAGAUUUAUUGUACACACAUGAUGUGAUGACAACCAUCAAUUAAUAUGAAAUCAAUUAGCCGUUGAGCGUUUUUCUAUCAAAACAACUGGGAAAAUAUGAAAUACCCAAGUCACUUUACAUCAUGCUAAUUAAAACCCACCAGAAGUCGUCAAAAACAACUCCGGACAUUUAUAAAAAAUAGCAAGUUUUAAGGCGUGUUAGGUGCGAUCACGCAUGCGUUUCCGAAAAACUUGGGGUGGGACAACUUCCACUGUAUUUUUUCAUGAACCUACAGGAACUUUCGAGAAUUAAAAAAAAUUUUACGACAUGAUCUAUUUUACUUUACAGAAAUCAAUAAAAGCAUUAUUUUUUUUCUUGCAUUGCGUGUUGUUGCGUAAAUAAGUUAUGAAGGAAUGCUAACCUCAACAGCGCAAUACAGUAUAUCAAAAAUAACCUAAAGAGUAUUCAUCCUUCUGCUGCACCAUUAUUUGUCAAAAGGAAAUGGUUAACCCAACAAAAUAAAGUGUGGUUCACCAUGCAGUGAAAAACAAGUCUUUCAUCAUUAUAAAUAUAAAAAACGCAAACACCAUAAAUCAUUUACAAGUGUUCAAAAGUCAGCGAACAGUUGCUUACAUCGAAAAGAAAGACGAUUUGCAAAAAACGAUCAGGCAAUUUUUCUGCUAGUAAAAUGGAUCGAUAUUUUUUAAGAAGUAAAAAGGAAGUUUAUGUUAUUGUUUUAACACUGUGCCAGCUCUGUGCAGCAGCAGCCAAGAAAACGUGUGAACCUCAGGAAGAUGUUGUGUCCAUAUACAGUGACAAAUUUGACGAAGUCCCCCCCCUCAAGGCUUCGGACCAUAUUUCAUCAAAAUACACCGCUGUGCAGAAUAUUCACAAACUCACUAUCCGUCGAAACCAGUGAGAUGGCAAAAGAUAGGCAUCGUACUGUGAGAUUCACUGACCUUUAAAUAUUACGAAUACAUUUUACAUAAUCACACCAAGUGUAAAUGCUCCACCAAUUUAACAGUCUUUCAAUGCAACAGAGAAAGGCGUGUAGAAAAAGGCCAUAUAGUGAUGAUCAUCUUCAGACCUUUCUAUAUAAUCGUCAUGGACCUCACGGUCUAUACUACACGGUCAAAACUAUUUGUUGUUUUGAAAAAGGUUUUUCUAUAUUAUUGACAGCUCUCGCUCACACGAUUUCUUUUUCUUAUCUAUAACGAGCUAAAUUAUCAAAAUUUUGUUCCUUAAGCUUGGAAGAAUAAAGUAAAAGAACGCUUGUGAUUGAAUGUACUAUAUAGCAAUCAUACAUUGAUAAAGACUGGAGAAACUGUAUCUGUAAAGUAGAUUUAUUGUACACACAUGAUGUGAUGACAACCAUCAAUUAAUAUGAAAUCAAUUAGCCGUUGAGCGUUUUUCUAUCAAAACAACUGGGAAAAUAUGAAAUACCCAAGUCACUUUACAUCAUGCUAAUUAAAACCCACCAGAAGUCGUCAAAAACAACUCCGGACAUUUAUAAAAAAUAGCAAGUUUUAAGGCGUGUUAGGUGCGAUCACGCAUGCGUUUCUGAAGAACUUGGGGUGGGACAACUUCCACUGUAUUUUUUCAUGAACCUACAGGAACCUUCGAGAAUUAAAAAAAUUUUACGACAUGAUCUAUUUUACUUUACAGAAAUCAAUAAAAGCAUUAUUUUUUUUCUUGCAUUGCGUGUUGUUGCGUAAAUAAGUUAUGAAGGAAUGCUAACCUCAACAGCGCAAUACAGUAUAUCAAAAAUAACCUAAAGAGUAUUCAUCCUUCUCCUGCACCAUUAUUUGUCAAAAGGAAAUGGUUAACCCAACAAAAUAAAGUGCGGUUCACCAUGCAGUGAAAAACAAGUCUUGCAUCAUUAUAAAUAUAAAAAACGCAAACACCAUAAAUCAUUUACAAGUGUUCAAAAGUCAGCGAACAGUUGCUUACAUCGAAAAGAAAGACGAUUUGCAAAAAACGAUCAGGCAAUUUUUCUGCUAGUAAAAUGGGAAUCUUAAAUGCGAAAUGGAGUGUAUUCCCUCUUAUGUUAAAGGCAGCUUUGCUUGUUGGAGGUACUUCUGGAAAACUGACAUCGUCAGAAUAAUUUUCUGGUUAUAAUUUAUCUAGUUAGAGCUUUGUACAGUAUUUUACCAACGCUAGAGCCGCCACACCAUGAAAUUCUCUAUGGCUGUUAGCCUGCCUUAACUGAAUUCAACACAUUAUGCAAUUCAUUUGUGUUGUCGUAAAAAAGGAAUAAUGUAUUUGUUGAUGACUUGUGGAAAGAAUAAAGAGUGCGAAGAUUGCAUAAGAAGACGUCAAACCAUGAUCAAAAUGGUUUAAUAGAAUGCUGAAAAGACACAAAUCAAAAGAAAUGAAGAAUACAGAGAACCAGACUGAGUCAUCAAUAAAAAUUGAUGCAGACACAGAAAAUGACCCCACAAGAACAAGACUUGAAUUAGUUGUGACGUGUCAGCGUAAAUGCAGAAAAAUUAUGGGUACUAAUACAAUUAAAUCUAACAAAAUUAAUAUCAGCGUACUGAUAUAACUAUGUUUUUCCUGGUAUCUCGCAUUUGAAGUAGCUUGUAAAUCUCCGUUUGUCCAUUUUGAAAAUUAUAGACACACCUUGUUCAAUCUGCUACAAUGCUUAUUUUUUAUUUAUUUCUUCUUGAUAUAUAACAAACUGGAAUUUUCCUGUGGUCAAGAUAGAAAUUAAGGCAAAACAUUCCGCUAUAACAAUAAUAUAUGCCAUCUAAACUUUAUUCGAUAAACUUUGUAUUGGACGAACUUUCUACUGUAUGGAAAUAAGCCAUGGCUACAAUUUGAGUAGGCCAUGAAUAAGCUUUGUAUUGGACAACUCUUUAACAAGCAGUCUAUUAUAGGCUCAAAAAUCAUUAUAAAUAAAAUUAGAAACGAUUGUAGAGAGUCAUAUUUCACGGUCUCUAUAUUUGUCUGAUUUAAUCCAUGCAGCAAAAUAAUUUCUGUCGAAAAAAAACAGACAUGUUGAAAAUAAUAAACAUACCUAUUUUUUCUCGCAACAUUACUAUCGUAAAGAUGUUAGCAGAUAUUAUUGCGACAGAUAUUUGUGUCGACAAAACACUAUACUUUAAGAGGUGAUGUCUUUGUCUUUACUAUAAAUAUCGGUAGAUUUUUUUUAUUUUAGGCAGGAUAUGCUGUUCUGCUUUUUUGCUAUGUGUUGUUAAUCAUAUUCAUUGUCAUGGUAUCGUUUGCGUAACAGAGAAUUCGAAUAAACCUAUGUAUGCUGGUGUAUUUUUUCAUCCAUAUAUAUUAUAAUUGUUAUAUAUAAAA
This is a long non-coding RNA of Xenia sp. Carnegie-2017, 3792 nucleotides long. RefSeq lists it as uncharacterized. NCBI's taxonomy places the organism in Eukaryota, Metazoa, Cnidaria, Anthozoa, Malacalcyonacea, Xeniidae. The record is from RefSeq and is a predicted model, not a curated record. The transcript has 5 exons.